This is a non-coding RNA of Podarcis lilfordi (Lilford's wall lizard), 66 nucleotides long. Lineage: Eukaryota; Metazoa; Chordata; Lepidosauria; Squamata; Lacertidae. The record is from the annotation of a GenBank genome assembly.
GCAGCUCAGUGGUAGAACAUCCGCUCUGCAUGGAGAAGGAUCCAGGUUCAAUUCCUGGCAUCUCCA